This 1090-nucleotide long non-coding RNA is filed under the name Malus domestica (apple). Its description in RNAcentral is "long non-coding RNA (MDOM_LNC002723)". The record is from RNAcentral. Lineage: Eukaryota; Viridiplantae; Streptophyta; Magnoliopsida; Rosales; Rosaceae.
CGGAAAUUGAAUUAAAAGACUAACAACAAUGAAAACUAACUAAAUAAUAUAAUUUAAUAAUGGGGGGUAGUUUGGUUUUAACGAGAAGUAAAUUAAACUUAAAUAAAUUACAGAAUUGACAAAAGCAUGAAUUAAGGUGAAAUGAUAGGUGACAGACUAGCUAGAGGGUUCUUCUCCACACAUGACACAUAUGCAACCUAAAUUGAUUUUCAGUUGUUCUUUCAAUAAAUUGUAAAUCUCAAUGCCCCAAAUUAACUAGAUCGACCAAUUAAUUCUCAGAUUUCCCUAGAUUCAUUGAAUUGAAUGGGAUACGCAUUACAACCAAAUUAUUCUUAUCAAGGACCCUAACUAUGGAAUACGCAUGAUAGAGACACAUAUCAAAGAUCAUUAAGUUUAAUGAAAAUCAUAAGCAUUGACGAGGCAUUCAUAACUAUGGGAUACGCAUGUUACUCUUGCCAAGAAUUUACUUAACGUGAUUGUGACUAGCAACCUUCACUACUUGUGAAUAUAAGUUUAUAACGAUUAGGUGAAAUUCACUUAUAUUCUAGCAUCAAAUUCAUGCAUGUAAAUUAAGUAUGCAUUCUUAAUCGACAUACAAAAAUAAGUUAUCAAUCAAGCAGUUAAGCAAAUUAAAUCACAACUCAGAAAUCACAACUAAAGGUAAUCAAUUCAUAUUACAAACAUAUUCAUGGCUUUGAAUUAACCUCUAGCCAAAAUAAAUUUAGUUACACAUUAUUUUCUAAUUAAACCAGAAAUUAAACAUGAGUUUGAGAAAAUAUACAACCCUUUUAUUUUUCUUCUGCUGCCGUCUCCCUCUGACCUGCUUCUCCCUGCACGUCUUCUCUCCCUUGGCUGUCGCCCCCCCUCUUUUCUGCGCUGCCUUGGGCAGCUUAUCUCCUUUAUAUUUUUUUUAUUCUGUUUUUCUCUCUCUCUCUCUCCCGUUCUCACGCUGCUCAAAGCAGCCUUCUUGGACUCUCUGACCUCACGUUUCCUGCUUCUCUCCUGUUUUUCUGUGCAGCCUUGCUGCUUCUCUCUCCCGCCACCUGUCUCUCAAGCUGCCAAAGGCAGCUUCUAUCCUCCCUAGCGUCCU